RNAcentral lists this ribosomal RNA (439 nucleotides) under uncultured bacterium. RNAcentral describes it as "partial 16S ribosomal RNA". It matches the Rfam family "Bacterial small subunit ribosomal RNA", at positions 339 to 795 of the family's 1533-position model. The record is from RNAcentral.
CUACGGGGGGCUCCAGUGGGGAAUCUUGCACAAUGGAGGAAACUCUGAUGCAGCGAUGCCGCGUGAGUGAAGAAGGCCCUUGGGUUGUAAAGCUCUUUUGUCGGGAAAGAUAAUGACUGUACCCGAAGAAUAAGGUCCGGCUAACUUCGUGCCAGCAGCCGCGGUAAUACGAAGGGACCUAGCGUAAUUCGGAAUUACUGGGCGUAAAGCGCGCGUAGGCGGUUAAGUAAGUUAAUUGUGAAAGCCCAAAGCUCAACUUUGGAAUUGCAAUUAAAACUACUUAGCUAGAGUUUAUCAGAGGAAAGCGGAAUACAUAGUGUAGAGGUGAAAUUCGUAGAUAUUAUGUAGAACACCAGUUGCGAAGGCGGCUUUCUGGGAUAACACUGACGCUGAGGUGCGAAAGUAUGGGUAGCGAAGAGGAUUAGAUACCCGUGUAGUC